GUGUGGGAUGUGUGUCUAAACACGACAAUCUGAAGACAGAGGUGUAGAAAUUGGCAAGUUUCCUAAAGCAUGACAACACA
Molecule: small nucleolar RNA, 80 nt
Organism: Aotus nancymaae (Ma's night monkey)
Lineage: Eukaryota; Metazoa; Chordata; Mammalia; Primates; Aotidae
Gene: SNORD63
Rfam family: Small nucleolar RNA SNORD63
About the family: snoRNA U63 is found in both humans and mice. U63 is a member of the C/D class of snoRNA which contain C (UGAUGA) and D (CUGA) box motifs.
Source: Ensembl